UAUCACUAAGCGGAGCAAACGGGCCCCUGCCUCGCUCCUGAGUUGUAACUUGAAGAAGGUAUCUUUGGUUUUGGCUCUUGUCUAUGUUCCUUGGAACAGGACGUCACAGAGGGUGAGAAUCCCGUGCGAUGAGAUGCCCAAUUCCAUGGAAAGUUCCUUCGACGAGUCGAGUUGUUUGGGAAUGCAGCUCUAAGUGGGUGGUAAAUUCCAUCUAAAGCUAAAUAUUGGCGAGAGACCGAUAGCGAACAAGUACUGUGAAGGAAAGAUGAAAAGAACUUUGAAAAGAGAGUGAAAAAGUACGUGAAAUUGUUGAAAGGGAAGGGCUUGAGAUCAGACUUGGAAUUUUCCAGCAAUGGAGCUUUCCGGGCCAGCAUCAGUUUGGAUGGCAGGAUAAUUGCGUAGGAAAGUGGCACCACCUCGGUGGUGUGUUAUAGCCUGCGUCGAUACUGCCUAUCUAGACUGAGGACUGCGUCUUUGACUAGGAUGCUGGCAUAAUGAUCUUAAGCC
This 507-nucleotide ribosomal RNA is filed under the name Yamadazyma lessepsii. RNAcentral's name for it is "eukaryotic LSU rRNA". It matches the Rfam family "Eukaryotic large subunit ribosomal RNA", at positions 41 to 646 of the family's 3401-position model. The record is from RNAcentral. Lineage: Eukaryota; Fungi; Ascomycota; Pichiomycetes; Serinales; Debaryomycetaceae.